RNAcentral lists this ribosomal RNA (606 nucleotides) under Clostridioides difficile. RNAcentral's name for it is "bacterial SSU rRNA". It matches the Rfam family "Bacterial small subunit ribosomal RNA", at positions 62 to 696 of the family's 1533-position model. Lineage: Bacteria; Bacillati; Bacillota; Clostridia; Peptostreptococcales; Peptostreptococcaceae. The record is from RNAcentral.
UUGAGCGAUUUACUUCGGUAAAGAGCGGCGGACGGGUGAGUAACGCGUGGGUAACCUACCCUGUACACACGGAUAACAUACCGAAAGGUAUGCUAAUACGGGAUAAUAUAUUUGAGAGGCAUCUCUUAAAUAUCAAAGGUGAGCCAGUACAGGAUGGACCCGCGUCUGAUUAGCUAGUUGGUAAGGUAACGGCUUACCAAGGCGACGAUCAGUAGCCGACCUGAGAGGGUGAUCGGCCACAUUGGAACUGAGACACGGUCCAAACUCCUACGGGAGGCAGCAGUGGGGAAUAUUGCACAAUGGGCGAAAGCCUGAUGCAGCAACGCCGCGUGAGUGAUGAAGGCCUGCGGGUCGUAAAACUCUGUCCUCAAGGAAGAUAAUGACGGUACUUGAGGAGGAAGCCCCGGCUAACUACGUGCCAGCAGCCGCGGUAAUACGUAGGGGGCUAGCGUUAUCCGGAUUUACUGGGCGUAAAGGGUGCGUAGGCGGUCUUUCAAGUCAGGAGUGAAAGGCUACGGCUCAACCGUAGUAAGCUCUUGAAACUGGGAGAUUUGAGUGCAGGAGUGGAGAGUGGAAUUCCUAGUGUAGCGGUGAAAUGCGUAGAUA